CAGCAGCCGCGGGAAUACAGAGGGUGCAAGCGUUAAUCGGAAUUACUGGGCGUAAAGCGCGCGUAGGUGGUUUGUUAAGUUGGAUGUGAAAUCCCCGGGCUCAACCUGGGAACUGCAUUUGAAACUGGCAGGCUAGAGUCUUGUAGAGGGGGGUAGAAUUCCAGGUGUAGCGGUGAAAUGCGUAGAGAUCUGGAGGAAUACCGGUGGCGAAGGCGGCCCCCUGGACAAAGACUGACGCUCAGGUGCGAAAGCGUGGGGAGCAAACAGGAUUAGAUACCCUGUAGUCCCUGUCUCUUAUAAC
Molecule: ribosomal RNA, 301 nt
Filed under: uncultured bacterium
Lineage: Bacteria
Description: partial 16S ribosomal RNA
Rfam family: Bacterial small subunit ribosomal RNA
Source: RNAcentral